UUUUAACCCAGCGGGUGCUGUAAACAGUACGUUGGCGGUUCACACCAGUUCAGAAGUAAGGUAUCUUAAAUUGCACUCGACAAUGUUGUGAAUACUUUAAAAUGCUUGAAGCCAUACUUGAUGCCUUCCAUAACGUGUAAAGUAAGAAGUUAGCCUGUGUUAAAAAGUGGUGAUCCCUGCAGAUUACCAAGGCAUCCAGUCUCCCAGCAAGUGCCAAGAGGCAUUCAUUCAAUGCUCCGCUGACACCAAUUUGCCCAAAGUUCACACAGCAAGAAGCCAAGGACCCACCGAGGCUGUCACUUGGAAGAGGUCAUUGUUGUUGCAUCCAGCAUCCCAGCCUGACAGCCUAGACAGGUCCCGCAGGUUGCUGAAUGGCAGAGGUGCAGGCUGCUCCACAGCAAGAUGUGAGACCAGUGUGGCAGAGUAUGAUGUGUACACAAUGAGGGACACACUGUAGCCAACCCAGUAGAUUACCGGUGCUGCAGUGCUGAUUGGGUCCUCACCUUGUUGUAGGAGAGCUGACAACAUGUACCAGCCAGCAGCAACUCCCAUGCUAACAGGCUUCUCCCCCGCGGGUAUGUAGCACCUCUGGAGUCGCUCGAUGAAGAAGAGGAUGCUGGCGAGGCCUGUCGUGUUAGCCGGGAUGCGCCGGUACAGAGCUGUGUCCGUUGGGGUUGUGUAGGCAAGCAUCUUCUUGGCAAGGUCCUCGUAGGUGGCCGCAAACAGUUUACGGCUGUGGGAUGAGAACUUGUCUUGUGAAUCGUGACGUUGGGGUGAGUGUUAAUCUGAUUUUGUGUUACUAUGUUCUGUGGGGAGUGGGUGUUAAUGUGAUUUUUUGUUAACUGAAUGCUGUGUCUGACCUCCUGAGGUGUAGUAUGGUGGGCCACAAGAUUGUCCCUUUCCACUAGGGGCUGACAGAUGAUAUUAAGAGUGUGAAUGUGUGUGUGGUGUUAACGUGCUGGAGUGUGCACAGCCAGGAGUGUUUGGGGAAUGAAAAUAAAAGGAGUUAUGGAUGUUUAAAAAUGCAUCUUUUGAGAGCUAAGUAUACAAGAAAGUUGGUGUGUUUGGGG
Molecule: long non-coding RNA, 1070 nt
Organism: Scylla paramamosain (green mud crab)
Lineage: Eukaryota; Metazoa; Arthropoda; Malacostraca; Decapoda; Portunidae
Exons: 3
Source: RefSeq, a predicted model, not a curated record